AUUAAGCGCACCUGAAUAUAAACCGCACUCACUGAAUUAUUAAAAAAUAUGUAUUUUGUACAUAAAUACGCCACACAUGUCUAUAAGCCGCAGGUGCCUACCGGUACAUUGAAACAAAUGAACUUGGUCACUAUCUUCCUCCUCCUGUGCACUGAAACCACUCUAGUCAUCUCCUUCGGUGUCGGAGAUGAAUAGCCUCAGAAUUGCUUCAUCCGAUGUUGGAUCGUUUUCAUUGUCGCUCUCGUCACUUUCAUCCGGAGGCAAAUACCCCGCUGAGCUCAUGCUGCCCCUUCAACACGCAGCAGUCCAGCCUUUCGAAACCCAUUGAUGAUAGUGGAUUUUUUGACAAUACUCCACGCUGUCAGGACCCACUGGCAGACUUGACCAUAAGUUGCUCUUCGCAUGCAGCCCGUUUUAGUGAAGGAUUUCUCCCCACUUGUCAUCCAAGACUCUUGAACAAGGAGCGCCACCUUAAAUGCACGAUUUACACUGAUGUCGAGUGGCUGCAAAUACUUUGGGCCAUCUGCUUUUCUUCCCUCUGAAAGCCUUUGUUGUCUUUUUGCACUGAGUCAGUUCCUCACGCUGCUGUUUCCAACGUCUUAUCAUCGACUCAUUAAGGCCAAGCUCCCGUGCAGCAGCUCUCUUUCCUUUUCCAACAGCCAGAUCGAUCGUCUUCAACUUGAAAGCUGCAUCAUAUGCAUUUCUCCGUGUCUUUGCCAUGAUGAGGGUGACAAAAUUACUACCGUAAUCAGAAUGAUGGGAAGUUUGAGCGCGCUCGAUUUUACGUCACAUUAUGUGACGGUGCUCAGUUUUUUGGCGGCAUGAAUCUUGUGAAAGCGGGAAAAAUUAGCCGUGUCAUUGUAUAAACCGCGAGGUUCAAAGCGUGGGAAUUAAGCAUAUAGUCCGGAAAUUACGGGUAAUAACGUUUAGACGGCGUCGGGGCUGUUGUACACAUUGGCUGAGAACCCAAGAGGUCACCCUUGGGUGAACGAGAGCAACUGUUUGACAUGUUAUGUUUUGUGUUCCAUCAUCCAACCCACAGCCAUGAACACAUUGAAAUCUUGAUAGUGAAUGGAGAAUUGCUCUUCUUCAGACAAAGAGAAGGACCGUUCUACCCAACUCUCCGACUGCUGCAUAAGUACCCUUUUAUUCUUCCACACCAACAAGUAAAGGGGCCAUCAAGUUUGUCCUAAGUGGAGCCAAUAUCAUGUGCACUGGAUUGACAUCCCCAGGUGCCAAACUCUACCCUUCUGCCUCAGAAACAGUAGUUGCCAUAAUGGCGGAGGGCAAGCAAUAUGCGCUUUGGAUCGGAGUCAUGAAGAUGUCUGCAGAAAACAUAGAGAAAGUCAACAAGGGAGUAGGAGUUGAAAAUGUUCAUUAUCUUAACGACGGACUGUGGCACAUGAAGACGUAUAAGUGAGAUGUCAUUACCCACCCCCUGGACAACAUGGAGCUCUUGACAGCGAGGCUUCCAGUCAAUUGUUUACACCAAAGCUGGAGGCUUUGCACCAACCUCCAAUUGAUGCACAAAUAAAAACCUGCAUUUAAAGUUAUUUUCCAUUCUUUUGCACUGCCUUUACAUUUCAUGGUUUCUUUGCUAAAGUCGUUGGGACUCACUUGCAACCAGGAGAAAAACAUCUGAAAUGGAUUGUAGAUCAUAGUACCAUGUAUAUAAUGUUACAUGACAUGAAAUCAAUAAAGAAUUCUCUGGCGAGUUGGAGGCUAAAGAAAGAUGAAAUCAGAUUUUUAGGGGGUCAGUUACA
Long non-coding RNA from Oncorhynchus nerka (sockeye salmon), 1763 nucleotides. RefSeq lists it as uncharacterized. The record is from RefSeq and is a predicted model, not a curated record. The transcript has 4 exons. Lineage: Eukaryota; Metazoa; Chordata; Actinopteri; Salmoniformes; Salmonidae.